UAGGGAAUCUUCGGCAAUGGACGGAAGUCUGACCGAGCAACGCCGCGUGAGUGAAGAAGGUUUUCGGAUCGUAAAGCGCUGUUGUAAGAGAAGAACGAGUGUGAGAGUGGAAAGUUCACACUGUGACGGUAUCUUACCAGAAAGGGACGGCUAACUACGUGCCAGCAGCCGCGGUAAUACGUAGGUCCCGAGCGUUGUCCGGAUUUAUUGGGUGUAAAGCGAGCGCAGGCGGUUAGAUAAGUCUGAAGUUAAAGGCUGUGGCUUAACCAUAGUACGCUUUGGAAACUGUUUAACUUGAGUGCAGAAGGGGAGAGUGGAAUUCCAUGUGUAGCGGUGAAAUGCGUAGAUAUAUGGAGGAACACCGGUGGCGAAAGCGGCUCUCUGGUCUGUAACUGACGCUGAGGCUCGAAAGCGUGGGGAGCAAACAGGAUUAGAUACCCUGGUAGUCCACGCCGUAAACGAUGAGUGCUAGGUGUUGGGUCCUUUCCGGGACUCAGUGCCGCAGCUAACGCAUUAAGCACUCCGCCUGGGGAGUACGACCGCAAGGUUG
RNAcentral lists this ribosomal RNA (550 nucleotides) under uncultured bacterium. RNAcentral describes it as "bacterial SSU rRNA". It matches the Rfam family "Bacterial small subunit ribosomal RNA", at positions 355 to 896 of the family's 1533-position model. The record is from RNAcentral.